UACCUACUGUGCAUCAUUGUAUAUCCGCAACCGGUUAAACCCGUGCUCAUAUAUGUAGGUAAGCGAAAAAGUCGGCUCACGUAAAAUCUCGUGAUCUUUCGUUGUGAAUGGAGCUCUAUCUUGAACAAAGGUUCGGAAAAUGUACCAACUAAUGGUUAUUUUACUAAUAACAGCGGUUGUAGUUAUGGCGAAGGAAGACUCUGAAAUGAGUGAAGCCGAAUCAAACUCAGCUGAGCAGCGUAACUUACUGACGUUAAUAAUCGAAAACAUACCAAUUGAAGUGGAGUUUCCAACGACGCCUACCCCGCCUUCUUGUGGCCGAGUUCAUGUAUGUGGAACAAGAUGCUGCAAACAGGGAAAUUUUCCGUGAAUCUUUAGAAGCGGAAUAGUUAUGGGAAAUAAUAGUUAAGGGACCAGAAUAUCAAAACAAAAUAGUAUUAAGUAUCCUCUGUUGAUAUUUGCUAUAAAUUACUGUUAUUUUAUCGACUAAA
Molecule: long non-coding RNA, 491 nt
Organism: Topomyia yanbarensis
Lineage: Eukaryota; Metazoa; Arthropoda; Insecta; Diptera; Culicidae
Exons: 2
Source: RefSeq, a predicted model, not a curated record